Molecule: ribosomal RNA, 497 nt
Filed under: uncultured bacterium
Lineage: Bacteria
Description: partial 16S ribosomal RNA
Rfam family: Bacterial small subunit ribosomal RNA
Source: RNAcentral
GAUGAACGCUGGCGGCGUGCCUAAUACAUGCAAGUCGAGCGAACAGACGAGGAGCUUGCUCCUCUGACGUUAGCGGCGGACGGGUGAGUAACACGUGGAUAACCUACCUAUAAGACUGGGAUAACUUCGGGAAACCGGAGCUAAUACCGGAUAAUAUAUUGAACCGCAUGGUUCAAUAGUGAAAGACGGUUUUGCUGUCACUUAUAGAUGGAUCCGCGCCGCAUUAGCUAGUUGGUAAGGUAACGGCUUACCAAGGCAACGAUGCGUAGCCGACCUGAGAGGGUGAUCGGCCACACUGGAACUGAGACACGGUCCAGACUCCUACGGGAGGCAGCAGUAGGGAAUCUUCGGCAAUGGGCGAAAGCGUGACGGAGCAACGCCGCGUGAGUGAUGAAGGUCUUCGGAUCGUAAAACUCUGUUAUUAGGGAAGAACAAAUGUGUAAGCAACUAUGCACGUCUUGACGGUACCUAAUCAGAAAGCCACGGCUAACUACGUG